RNAcentral lists this ribosomal RNA (465 nucleotides) under uncultured bacterium. RNAcentral describes it as "partial 16S ribosomal RNA". It matches the Rfam family "Bacterial small subunit ribosomal RNA", at positions 28 to 507 of the family's 1533-position model. The record is from RNAcentral.
GACGAACGCUGGCGGCGUGCUUAGCACAUGCAAGUCGAACGGAAAGGCCCUGCUUGCAGGGUACUCGAGUGGCGAACGGGUGAGUAACACGUGGGUGAUCUGCCCUGCACUUCGGGAUAAGCCUGGGAAACUGGGUCUAAUACCGGAUAGGAGCCAUUUUUAGUGUGAUGGUUGGAAAGUUUUUUCGGUGUAGGAUGAGCUCGCGGCCUAUCAGCUUGUUGGUGGGGUAAUGGCCUACCAAGGCGGCGACGGGUAGCCGGCCUGAGAGGGUGGACGGCCACAUUGGGACUGAGAUACGGCCCAGACGCCUACGGGAGGCAGCAGGGGGGAAUAUUGCACAAGGGGCGCCAGCCUGAUGCAGCGACGCCGCGGGGGGGAUGACGGCCUUCGGGUUGUAAACUCCUUUCGCUAGGGACGAAGCUUUUUGUGACGGUACCUAGAUAAGAAGCACCGGCUAACUACGUG